Molecule: long non-coding RNA, 2848 nt
Organism: Canis lupus familiaris (dog)
Lineage: Eukaryota; Metazoa; Chordata; Mammalia; Carnivora; Canidae
Exons: 3
Source: RefSeq, a predicted model, not a curated record
ACAUUCAAAAUAUGCUAAAAGAAUGAGCUAAGAAAAUAAUAAACCCCCAGCCUGAAAAGAGAAUUACAUACCUGUGUAUAUAAGGAGACACAGUGGACACCAGUAUCCCUCUCCUCAAUACUCUCUCCCCCUCAAUAAGGAAAGGGUCAAGGAUGACCUGGACUUAUACCUCAGUCUACCACUUGGUAGCCACUAUCCUACUUAAGUUACAUAACUACCAGGAACCCUCAGUUCUCCCAUAUUUAAAAAAAAAAAAGUGGAUUCUAUAAUAUCUUCAUCAUAGGUUGUCGAGAGGAUCAAACAAGAGAACCAUUGUGAAGUCUAUGAAGACCACCUUACACAUUUCUCCCUCACAUUCCUUCUGGUAAAUAGGCUUUGUGUAUGGGCUCACUCCAAGUAUAAUCCUCAGAUGCAAGAUCUACUAUCUGUUGAGCUCUUCGGGGCUUGACUUUUGCCAACAGUGGAAGGUAGCUACUCCCUAUCUCCAUGACUUUGGGUUCUGGAUCUUCAUUUCCUACAUAUGUUAUAUUUUGCCUACAUCAUCAGUGUCCUCAGUCUCAAUGGAAGAGGUCUCUAAUCUCCCUUUUGGGGGAAAUAGAUUCUUCUUGAUACCAUAUAGGAUCUAUGCACAGCCCAAAGACACACCCCUGGUGCAUCACAAUUGAGCAAAUCCUGGAAGCUUUUAAUGAAAAAUGCUGCUAAACCAUAAGAGUAACAUUGUGUAUGUUUCACCAGGCCCCAGAGAAGGAAGUUAAAAGGAGGGUAAGCAGUCUAAAGUAACUACCCAUUAUUGGGAUUCUCUGUGUUCUGUUGUGCAUGCACCCUAUCUAGCAAUUUCUCAGCAUAAUGAGAUCCUCUAGAAAAAUGGGGGCAAGGAUGCUCUAAGGCAAACAUGCAAUCUUUACCAUUGGAUGUAUUUCCCCAAUCACAUUCCUUUUGUUCACAGAAGCUAGAGAAAAACCUAGAGUAGUUUCUGUUUUCUAGCUGACCCUGACUGACCUAGAGAGGAAAAACGGAGAUAAAGAGGCCAGUUGGGAGCUAUGGCUUGUGUCUUGAGAUAGAAGGAUGGGGUUAUUAUAUUAGCAGUGAGGGUGAAGGAGAGAGAAUGACAAUCAGGAAGGAUUUUAGAAAUAGGAUAGCAGGACAUGGUCAGCAGUCUCAUACUAAACAUGAGGGAAGAAGAAGGGACAGACACAGUAAGUUCCACCUGGGGUUUGAGCGCUGCGCAGAUGUUGAGGUCACCCAGUAAUCAGAAAACCAGAGCUGACUAGUUUUGGAGGACUCUUAGUUGGUAUCUAAUAGAUAAUGAAGUAUACAGCUCUGUAAUGAAUAUUUAUAAUUUUGUAUCCCAGACCCUAUUCCUGACAGAAACAGCAGCCUCCCUAUUUACAGAUAUUGUUCUAAAUAAUCAACCUGAAUGGAAACUGAUAUGUUUGUCUGAGAUUCUGCUUGCCUGACUAAAUUAAGAGAUAGGCCCCUGAACCAAGGCAAGCCCAUCUGGAUUCUUCACCAGGACUUUCUAACCAGGUCAAGAGAGGCUCUUUAUUCCAUUUUUAUUUUUAAAAAAGUUGAGCCUAGAGAUAUGGGCAUCCAGAAAAUCAUGGAGAACCCAGCCUAAGAGAGUGGUGCCAACCUGAAAGGCAAAGCAUAACUAAUACAGUAAUGAUGUCCAUCUUGUAUGUGGUUGUGAGAGCAAAAUGAAAAAAGCCACAUGGAAAGUCUAGCACUGUGCAUGGCACCUAGCAGUUAUUCAAUAAGCUCUCCUGACUGAGGGCACAAACUGUGAGCUUUGAAUGGCAAAGAUAGGAAUGAAUGAUUUCAGCCACAGAGGAGAUGGUCUUUGGAUUGUGUUUGAAAGAUGGGUUGAAUACAGUCUGGGAGGACUGAAUUUUAGGAACUCUGUGGCUCCAGAAGCACCCAGGCAUCAGGGAGAGUGGGCAGUAAGAGCUUCCUGGAGAGAGCUGGGUGUUCACAGCACCCCCGCGCCACACACACACACACACACACACACACACACACAACCACCAUCGCAAGCAGCUUUCCUCUUCUCCACAGGAGGGGUUUGAAGAACAAGCCUGCCUGCCACACUCAGGCUGCAACCGUGACCUUGCUGGGCCCUGAGAGUGACAAGAACGAAGCCCAUAAUUAUUAACCUUGCCACUUGUUUCUGUAGUUUAUUGUGACAAGACAAUGCAAUAAGGAGGGAGGUAAUCAAAAAGCAAUUUUGUAGCAGUAAGCUUAAAGUGACAAACCUUGCUUUUCCUAAAUAAAUCACCAUUAUUCCCAUAUGGCUCAGGACUGACAACUUGGGUUUCCUUAGUAACCGAGUACUUAGCUAAACCUGUGGCCCAGUGUGAGCGGGAGCCAGCCGCAUCUGGAGAGGAGAACUAGUUGCCAAGUCUUUUCCAGAGGGCCCCCCCAUGCCUUCCAGGGGGCCCACCCGACUGGAAGGUGCAGUAGGUGCAGAAUUGCACAUUUGGCCGGCACCUCGCAUGGGGUGGUCUCAACUCCUCCUAACAAACAGCCCAAUGAGAACAAAGCAGGGAGGAUAAGGAUUCUGAACAGGGGUGAGCAAAUGGGAAGCAUCCCCCCCGCCCCCUGGAGUGACCGGCUUCACCCAAGACAUCCAACUGGAACAACCAAAAGUCCUAGGCACUGUAUUCUUAGUCCGUCAGAUGUCUUGGCUCCUCAAUAUCAUUCACUAUCUCUCCUUCCCAUGCCACAAAAUAAAGCUUGCUCCUUAAUGGUUUCCCUUGGCAAAUGAAUUAUACAAGAGACAAAAUUAAAAAUGGCAAGCAGUUACUAUCAACCCCUUUCAAGUAAAAUUCCAGAAACUCAAAAAAAAAAA